AUGUUGAAACGAAAAGGGAUUGGUGGAUUGAACGAAGAAAUUUCGGACUGGGCUUUCAAGAAAAGAGGAGAAAGACAUUUCAGUGAUUUGGAUCUCAACACAAGUUUGUUCAUACAAAGCCCUAAUCCAAAGCAGUAUAUAAACUAUAAUCUGACACUAAUUCAAAAUAUUAUAUUUUUGACGGAAAAAUAUACAAAUUCGGAAUCAAACAAACAUCAUCUCACUUGA
This is a non-coding RNA of Vicia faba (fava bean), 228 nucleotides long. NCBI's taxonomy places the organism in Eukaryota, Viridiplantae, Streptophyta, Magnoliopsida, Fabales, Fabaceae. The record is from the annotation of a GenBank genome assembly.